GCCUUAAUGCAGCCACUGAAUGGUGAUGGUCACAAGCCCAUGAAAUGCAGAGUGAGGC
RNAcentral lists this non-coding RNA (58 nucleotides) under unclassified sequences. The record is from RNAcentral.